UACGUAGGGUGCGAGCGUUAUCCGGAUUUACUGGGCGUAAAGGGUUGCGUAGGCGGUUUGGUAAGUCAAAACUCAAAUCUUCUUGCUUAACAAGAAAUCGGGUUUUGAUACUACUAAACUUGAGUAUCGGAGAGGUUGUCGGAACUUGCAGUGGAGCGGUGAAAUGCGUUGAGAUUGCAAGGAACACCGAUGGCGUAGGCAGACAACUGGUCGAUUACUGACGCUGAUGCACGAAAGCUAGGGGAGCGAAAGGG
This 254-nucleotide ribosomal RNA is filed under the name uncultured bacterium. RNAcentral's name for it is "partial 16S ribosomal RNA". It matches the Rfam family "Bacterial small subunit ribosomal RNA", at positions 524 to 776 of the family's 1533-position model. The record is from RNAcentral.